CAGACAUAUGUAGCAAAUGACUCAGUCCUGGGUACUUCUCUGAAUGAAACAAAAACUUACAUUCAUUAAAAAAAAAAAAAGACUGAACUCGGGGGCAGCUCUUGGGUCUUCUGUGUGUCCUACUUAAUUCAUGCCGGCUCUACGAGUAAGCAACCAUGUCUAAGGGACCUGCGGUGGUAUUGAUCUUGGCACCACCUACUCUUGUGGGGGUGUCUUCUAGCAUGGAAAAGUAGAGAUAAUUGCUAAUGAUCAGGGAGACCAAACCACUCCAAGUUAUGUUGCCUUUACUGACACCGAACGAUUGAUUGGUGAUGCUGCAAAAAAUCAAGUUGCAAUGAACCCCAUACACACAGUUUUUGAUGCCAAGCGUCUGAUUGGAUGCAGGUUUGAUGAUGCUGUUAUCCAGUCUGAUAUGAAGCAUUGGCCUUUCAUGGUGGUGAAUGAUGCAGCCAGGCCUAAGGUCCAAGUAGAAUACAAAGGAGAGACAAAAAGUUUCUAUCCAGAGGAAGUGUCAUCCAUGGUUCUGACAAAGAUGAAGGAAAUUGCAGAAGCCUAUCUUGGAAAGACUGUUACCAAUGCUAUGGUCACAGUACCAGCUUACUUAAAUGAUUCUCAGUGUCAGGCUACCAAAGAUGCUGGAACUAUUGCUGGUCUCAACGUUCUUAGGAUUAUAAACGAGCCAACUGCUGCUGCUGUUGCUUAUGGCUUAGACAAAAAGGUUGGAGCUGAAAGAAAUGUAAAUGUGCUAAUCUUUGACCUUGGAGGUGGCACUUUUGAUGUGUCAAUCCUCACUGUUGAGAAUGGAAUCUUUGAGGUCAAAUCUACAGCUGGAAAUACUCACUUGGGUGGCGAAGACUUUGACAACCAAAUGGUCAACCAUUUUAUUGCUGAGUUUAAGCGCAAACAUAAGAAGGACGUCAGUGAGAAUAAAAGAGCUGUCCAUCGCCUUUGUACUGCUUGCGAACGUGCUAAGUGUACUCUUAUCUUCCAGCACCCAGGCCAGUAUUGAGAUUGAUUCCCUUUAUACCUACUUCUAUACCUCCAUUACCCGUGUCUGAUUUGAAGAAUUGAAUACUGAUCUGUUCUGUGGCACCCUGGACCCUGUAGAGAAAGCCCUUCAAGAUGCCAAACUAGACAAGUCACAGAUUCAUGACAUUGUCCUGGUUGGUGGUUCUACCCGUAUCCCCAAGAUUUAAAAGCUCCUCCAAGACUUCUUCACUGGAAAAGAACUGAAUAAGAGCAUCAACCCCGAUGAGGCUGUUGCUUACGAUGCAGCUGUCCAGGCAGCCAAACUAUCUGGUGACAGAUCCGAGAAUGUUCAGGAUUUGCUACUAUUGGAUGUUACUCCUCUUUCUCUGGGUAUUGAGACUGCUGGGGGAGUUAUGACUGUGCUCAUUAAGCGCAAUACUACUAUUCCAACCAAGCAGACACAGACCUUCACUACCUACUCUGACAGCCAGCCAGCUGUGCUCAUCCAGGUUUAUGAAGGUGAGCGUGCCAUGACCAAGGAUAACAACUUGCUUGGCAAGUUUGAACUUACAGAGGGCAUGCCAGGAGGAAUGCCUGGGGGCUUCCCUGGUGGUGGUGCUCCUCCUUCUGAUGGUGCUUCAUCUGGCCCCACCAUUGAAGAGGUUAAGCCAACCUAAGUGUAGAUGUAGCAUUGUUCUGCACAGUAAAAUGUUGAAGGAUCUAAAUUUGUAGCAAAUUAUGUGGCAGAUUUAAAGUUGGGCUGCUAUAGUGAAUUACUGGGCAUUUUCAAUACUUGAAUAUGGAACAUGUGCACAGGGGAAGGAAAUAACAUUGCACUGUAAAAGCACUGUAUUGUAAGUGGAAAA
This is an RNA transcript of Otolemur garnettii (small-eared galago), 1835 nucleotides long. It is a transcript of the gene named heat shock cognate 71 kDa protein-like, with no coding region annotated. The transcript has 3 exons. The record is from RefSeq and is a predicted model, not a curated record. NCBI's taxonomy places the organism in Eukaryota, Metazoa, Chordata, Mammalia, Primates, Galagidae.